UAUUGACUGGAGUUCCGACGUUGCUUUUUGAUCCUUUGAUGUCAGCUCUUCCUAUCAUUGUGAAGCAGAAUUCACCAAGCGUUGGAUUGUUCACCCAAUAACAGGGAAUGUGAGCUGGG
Long non-coding RNA from Sphaeramia orbicularis (orbiculate cardinalfish), 119 nucleotides. RefSeq lists it as uncharacterized. The record is from RefSeq and is a predicted model, not a curated record. NCBI's taxonomy places the organism in Eukaryota, Metazoa, Chordata, Actinopteri, Kurtiformes, Apogonidae. The transcript is spliced from 3 exons.